GGGAUCCGCAUUGCAGGUGCACCAGAGCGCCCCAGGGCCCGGCCCCGCUUUGUCUGGGAUGCUGUGGGGAGGAGGCCGGCGGAAUCCACAUCGCCUUUCUAAGUGCGCUUUCCCACCCCGUGGAUGUUAGAGACCCUCACUGAUAAGUCUUGGCUUCUCCUGCCGGGGUAACCCUUGGCCUCUGUGGUUCUUUUUCAUUUCUUAUGCUGGCGUCUACAGUUUUUGUGGGCUCAAAGACAUCAUCAGACCCUUGGAAGAUUUUUUUACUUGGGUAGAAGCCAGCCUGCAAUCAAAAAUGUUUUUAAUCCUGCUUUGCAUUUGUCUGGGCCCGUACAAAUAAUAAAGCACUCUUACUGUCAAUGCUUUUUUUAAAAAAAUACUCUUUAAUUAUAAGUGAUUUUUUAUUUAUUCCUUUGACUUUAGUUUCUACAAUAAAUAUUUAAUCAAAAGGAAAAUUACCCUUUCAAUGAAGUCACACAGAGGAGUCCUUUUUUUUUUUUAAGUGCUUUUUAAAAAUGGAAUGAUGUCAGUCAAUUUUU
Molecule: long non-coding RNA, 539 nt
Filed under: Dasypus novemcinctus (nine-banded armadillo)
Lineage: Eukaryota; Metazoa; Chordata; Mammalia; Cingulata; Dasypodidae
Description: lncRNA (ENSDNOG00000050695.1)
Source: RNAcentral